Molecule: long non-coding RNA, 613 nt
Filed under: Salmo salar (Atlantic salmon)
Lineage: Eukaryota; Metazoa; Chordata; Actinopteri; Salmoniformes; Salmonidae
Description: lncRNA (ENSSSAG00000097366.1)
Source: RNAcentral
AGGCAGGCAGGCGGAGGCAGGCAGGCAGGCGGAGGCAGGCAGGCGGAGGCAGGCAGGCGGAGGCAGGCGGAUUUAAACACCAAUUUAUGUCUCUGAUAAAAGUAUUUGUCCUCCCAGGGGAUGAGUUGGCGUGACUACCACAUCACUAUAAUAGAGCUGCCUGAAGGUUGUCCUAAAAACGCUUUGUCCAUCAACCAGCUGUACAGAAACUGUCGUGGUAAGAUCCCCAAGCAUAAGUUCAGGUACUGGGAGAAUUACUGGGAAGAAGCUGACGACAUCUGGGAUGUACUUGACGACGGCUCCUCCAUAGACCGCUGGCAGUAUGAAAGAGAGGAAUGGAUCCUCUAGUGAAGACACACCAGUACCUCCAUUUUGUGUGAACUACUGUUUUUAAUAUUUUUUUUUUUAGCUUUUUUCAAAACUACACUUUUAAAGAGUAUUGGUUACCUAGCAACCCCUAGAACCCAACAACAACUCAUACCUUACUGUUGUACUUGUCUUUCUUGCACUGACGCCUGUUUUGGUUGUGUCUGAGGCAUUUUUGGUAUAUCAUAUCGUUGAUCGUUGUUUUGGCACCACUCGAGUUAGAAGUUCAGAACGAGAAACUGUAAGC